CCACUUACUUUAUUCGGGUCCUCAUUUUCGGUCCAUAUUAAACCCUAAUCAUUCUUCUCUCAUACUCUUCGAACAUCGUUCUUCUUCAGCAGCUCUAGGGUUUCUUCAUCCUUCAAUCCAGCGAUUAGGGUUUUCAUCAUUCUUUUCCAAUCAAACAAUCCAAGAUCCAAGUAAUCAACGCUCUGCUCUUUACGGAUCUUCAUAGAUCUUCAUAUCAACGCUCGAAUUCAAGGGUUUCUUGCUAUUCGAUCUAUUUACUACUCUUACACAUCAAUGUCGUCUCCAUCAAUUCAAAAUAAUUGA
This 303-nucleotide long non-coding RNA is filed under the name Helianthus annuus (common sunflower). RNAcentral describes it as "hypothetical non coding rna". The record is from RNAcentral. Lineage: Eukaryota; Viridiplantae; Streptophyta; Magnoliopsida; Asterales; Asteraceae.